ACUGGAGGGGCUGGAGGCCUGCGGCCGGGGGCUCCAGCUCGCCCUCGUUGCGAGGUUCGGCCGGGCGGAUACCCGGGCGAAGAAGCUGCUGUCUCCCCAUUACACAGCUGGGGAAGCUGAGGGCAGCGCCCGGGUGGGGAGGCUUCAGUGCGGCGCGGAAAUCCGCCCUUUGCAGGAGAAAGAGCAGGUGCGAUGAGAGGGGAGAAGGACAGAAAGUUGGACACCUUACGGGGCCCUCUCAUCAGAAUGACCUCAUUCCCACUCCGAGAGACUUGUUGGACUUUUUGUUGAGCCAUUUUUGUGAAGAACCACGUAGGCUCGGGACUGAGACUCGCACAAGGUCACACAGCUGUUGGGUGGCACACAUCUGAGUUUGGAGCCUCGAAGUGUCUCAUUCCGUCGCCUGUCUUCUGCUGCUGCCCUUCGCAGAAUUGCUCUUGUCAGAAUUUAUGGCUGAACUACGAACGGGCACCUUUCAUGGCCUGUCUGUCCAAUACUGGCUGCAUGGAUGUUUCUUUGUCUUUCAUUUAGUUGAAACUCCUGAGGCAGAGAUUGAGUCAUUUCCCUGCCUUCACUGGAAGGGCAGUAAAUGACAUGCAAAAUGCGUGAGGACUUCGUGUGGAAGCGUUUUCCUGCCACUGGUCCUUUUUAUCUGCCUUGUGCCCCCCUGCUAGACGGUCCUCCCCAGCACCUCCUCCUUUUAUCUCAGCCCUAACUUUUAAAGACCAUCCCCUCACUCACUACCUUAACUUUCGUGUUUACUUCCUUUUAUGAACUUCUCUAGGUCGACCGUUUUCACUCUUCGCGGGGCGCUUGUUGUGUGGCCUUUCUGCACCUUUGAUGAAUGCAUUCCCAGAUAUGUUCUCUUCUAGGAUGCCUCUUUGCAUCGCCAGUGGCACCGUGUUUGUACAAGCAGUACAGAUUCCAAAAAAUGUUACUGGUGGGUGAACAUUAUUUCAGCCCGCUAAGAAAGAGGUGGGAGUGAGGGGUUUCCUGGUGGCUGAGCGAGUUAAAGACCUGGCAUUGUCACGGCUGUGUCUCAGUUUCAAUCUCUGACCCAGGAACUUGCACAUGCCAAGGGCACAACUAAAAAAGAGAAAGAGAGGAUUUCCAUCCCCAAAUCAAGCCUGCCUUGUUUAUGCCUCAACCUUUACUUUCCUAUCUCCAUAGUUUUUCUCCACUGUAAUCCUUAGCCUAUACCAUAGACUGUCUAGAUCAUUCAAUAACAUAAAAACAAUAUUUUUCAAUUUGAUGUCUUAGCAGUGGCAACGAUAACAGGUGUGGUGUGAUAAGAUUUACUGAGUCACCCUUCAUCACCUACUGUCAAGCCACAUUCCUACAUUAGGACGGAAAUUUAGGGAUAGAAAAAUAUGAAGGAUAUUUUCCGUCCUAGAUGGAUUAGACUCGGGUAAAACGAAAAAUAUUUGUAAAUAUUUGCAAUACAGCAAGAGGAGUUGGGGAAAUGAUCUUUUAGAAGAAUAAAUUAAGGUUUUUAUUUCCCAGAGAGGACAAAUAAAAUCAUAUUAAUAG
Molecule: long non-coding RNA, 1530 nt
Filed under: Sus scrofa (pig)
Lineage: Eukaryota; Metazoa; Chordata; Mammalia; Artiodactyla; Suidae
Description: lncRNA (ENSSSCG00000055703.1)
Source: RNAcentral